RNAcentral lists this ribosomal RNA (1906 nucleotides) under Triticum aestivum (bread wheat). RNAcentral describes it as "partial small subunit ribosomal RNA". The record is from RNAcentral. Lineage: Eukaryota; Viridiplantae; Streptophyta; Magnoliopsida; Poales; Poaceae.
GGAGAGGAAGCGGCCACCCAACCCCCAACCCCAGCCUAGCCCCAGCCCGUUUCCCUCCCCACCCAUGCCGCCGCCGCCGGAGCCACCCACCGCCCCGCCUCCCUCACACAGACCUCGCCGCCGGCCAUGGCCUUCCCCAACAGCCGCCGCUCCGACCCUCUCCCCCUCCCCUCCCCUUAUCACAAGACAAGAGAAGAGAAGAGGGAGGGAAAUCGAUCGCGACUGAGCAGGUCAGGCGGCGACAAUGGCGCGCCCAGACCCGCCAGCGCCGUCGUCGUCGAGCUGGGCUGGGCGGCGCAGUCCGGUAGAGUAGGAAUGAGGGGGCGGUGGGACGCCUCCCCUGCUCGAGCUGCUCCAAGCGAGCGACCACAGCGCCGGAUCCACCUCCAGAACCACCCACCGGCGGCCACGGAAGGUCAGGGACCUUCGUCCGGUCCGUGUGCUUCUUCUCCAUGGAGCUGCGACACCGCAGCAGCCGCAUCCAUGGAAGUGCCGACGCCAUGGACCUCGUCAAUAGUGGUUUGCUGCUGCCGCCGACCGUUUCCCUGACAAGUUGACACCAAAGCCACCAUUGUCAAAGUCGCCGUUGGCCGGCGUUGCCACUGGUCGCUGCUCCACGCAUCUUGUCGGUGCUGCGAGGCGAUGCCAUCUGCAUCUGUUGCUGCAGCCUGGGAGGUGGCAGGGUCUCAAGGUGAUGCCCUCUUUGCUGCCCAAUCAUUGAAGAUGCCAUAGGACGAGAUCCUCUGCUGCUGCUGUGUCUGGUGGUUGAAGAAGGGGUGUGUUGGGAAGAGAAGGCAGUGUUGAGAGUGCUAGAUCUGGAACAGGACGAGCUUGGGCUGCAUCGGCUCUGGUUCUCAACCUCCAACAUGAGUCCCUUUCUUCCGUGCCUCGAACGCCACGCGUCAUCAUGGGCACUGCAGAUGCGGAGGAGUUUUACCCGGGCGAUCUGAUUGUUCCCGGCCGCGCUGGUGUCAACUACCUCGAGCCACUAUGACCAUCCCAACCACGCUCACCCCCCUGCAAGUCAUGUGUUUCUCCUACCAGAUCAAAACAAUUGUCAAUUUUUGGAGUACAGUUGUGUAUCAGAUCCGUUCAUGAUUGAAAUCGUGGUCCCCUAAACAUGUGAUUUGUGAAAUAUUUAGGAACGAAUUGUUUGUGGAUCUGCAAAGGGGGAUUCAAUUAAUUUUCAGUUGUAGAAAAGGGAGAAGGGGGAUUCAAUUAAUUUUCCUCCUCAAGAUCAAAGAAACAAAAUCUUUGUGGCGAUGAUAGAAGGGGUUCACGACUUCACGUUAAUACACAGACUAUUGGUAAGGGCAUUAAAACAUAUAUCUGGUGUGAAAUGGUCGUACAUGCUUGAUUAGAAUAUUUUCAAGUGUUGUAGGUGUACGGCUGUGGGGAAACAUUUUCAUGGUCUAAUUUUCUAAUUAAUGUAUGCACGAGACAUGAAUCUUGGAUUCUAAACUUUUUCCUCGAUGUUUGGGCUUCCUCUAACUUUUCGUAUAUUGCACACAACACAACACAUAGAUUCAUGUCUUCCAUGCUUGCUGUCUUGUAACAAACAGAUGUUGGGAUGGAUACUAAUUUUCUAAAUGAUUUGAACUCAUGUUGUUUUCUAUUCUACUGUCAUUGGUUCAUCAUUCUGAACCAUUCAAUUGUUGGAACUCCGGCAUAUAUUGGUCCUGAAGUUAUGCUGAAGAAAGAAUAUGACACAAGCUACGAUCCAUCCUAUUUUGUGCUUUAAACGGUCUGCUGCAUACUCUGCCAUCUGCUGCAUAACUUAAUUCUGUUUGCUCGGCCAUAAAAGCCUUACUUGAUUUCUGAAUCUUCCAUUCACCUUUCGUUGUCAUGAGUGGUGAAUGGUCUUGAGGAGUAACCAUUUAGAUACUGUAUGUUUUUUUGCUCAAAC